UGUUGAUAGAGUUGAAAUUUUGAAGGGAUAUCCAUUGAUGAGCUCUCAUUGCUUGUUUCUUGUUCCUCCUCUUCCUCUUCUACUUCUUCGUCAACUUCUUCUUCCUCUUCUUCUAGUUCUCUGGCAGAAGGUGAGGGAAGGGGAUAGCUGUUGAAAUCACCAUCUUCCAUAACUUCUCCUUCUGAAGUAAACUUGAAGUCCCUUCGACGAGAAUGUCCAUCGUGAUGUUUCUGCUUCUUGUCUCGCUUUCCCAUUUCUCCCUCCUUUUCCGCCGCCG
Molecule: unclassified non-coding RNA, 277 nt
Filed under: Hevea brasiliensis (rubber tree)
Lineage: Eukaryota; Viridiplantae; Streptophyta; Magnoliopsida; Malpighiales; Euphorbiaceae
Source: RNAcentral